AUGGAGUUGAUAAAUGCUAACCCUGUGAUUCAUGAGAAAAGAGAGAGGCGCGCCCGGCAGGCACCAGAAAACAUAGAUGAAAAUGCACCAGAGGCCAUAGACCAGCUUGAAAUAUUUGAUCAUAUUAGAGACAUAAAGGACCCAGAACAUCCAUACUCAUUGGAAGACCUUAAUGUGGUAAAUGAAGACUCGGUCGAAAUCAAUGAUGAACUUAGUCAUGUCAGGGUUACUUUCACCCCAACAGUGGAGCAUUGCAGUAUGGCCACUAUCAUUGGCCUUUGCUUACGUGUGAAGCUCAUGCGGAGUCUUCCACCUCGUUACAAGGUGGACAUACGGUUGACGCCUGGAUCACAUGCAACUGAAGCUGCCGUGAACAAGCAACUGAGCGACAAAGAACGUGUUGCGGCCGCGCUGGAGAAUUCAAACCUGCUGGACAUAGUCGAGGAGUGCCUGUCACCGACGCUCGGCUGA
Molecule: ribosomal RNA, 471 nt
Filed under: Triticum aestivum (bread wheat)
Lineage: Eukaryota; Viridiplantae; Streptophyta; Magnoliopsida; Poales; Poaceae
Description: partial small subunit ribosomal RNA
Source: RNAcentral